Molecule: small RNA, 1089 nt
Filed under: Drosophila pseudoobscura pseudoobscura
Lineage: Eukaryota; Metazoa; Arthropoda; Insecta; Diptera; Drosophilidae
Description: GA30730
Source: RNAcentral
UAGUUCAGUGUUUUUUUUUCUCUUGAGGAGAAAAGGAAAAGGAGUUGUAGAGAAAGAAAAAAAUAUAACAAGUGGAAAGAAAUAUCCGAAAACCGGAUUCAAUAACAGAAGCAGCAUCCACGAGAGGAGAGCAGGGCAGAGGAUCAGCAGCAACAGAAGAAGAAGCGAAAAGAAAAAAAAGCAAGCGCACGCAUAAGGCAGCGACGCGACGCCGCAGCCAGCAGAGUGCCCUGAUCCUCUCAGCGCCGGAGCUGGCAGCACACUCUCUCUCUCUCUCGCGCGUUUUGUUAGACGCAGAACAGCGGAGCAGAACAGCAGCAUCAGCAGAAGAUCGGUGGGAGAACGAGCGAAUCGGGCCCAUUAUCGAGGAACAGCAACCGGAGUCGUGUUGUGCACAAACUAAUUGCAAAAUCUUUCUUUGUGGCUUCGAUCUAUGUGUGGAUUAUCCAUAGGCUAUCCAGCCUCUUGAGCCGACCACCCCGGGUCUUGGAACCGAUUCGCAGCGUCCUUAUAUCUUUAUAGGCAUCUCAGGAGCAGGCUUUUCGAUUCCCAUCGCUAGGAAUCGUUGCAGCAAUCAUCACUCUCGCAAAGAGUGGGGCACAGCCGUAAUUAUCACACCCCCCGCACUCCCCUUCUGCUCGUGGAAAAUCUCUGCUGGAAAAUCUGUGUAAAAUCUGAUAUCAACAUGGAAACUGUCGGCCCGUCUCCGGUGUCAACCCUCGUCGCAUUGCCUGUUUCUGCUCCCUGCCGCAUGCCGCAUGCCGCAUGCCACAUGCCAGUGGCAGUGCCUCUCUGAUGGCUUUGUUCUUUGUGUUGUCAAACUGUCAGGAUGGCGAUUUGCUGCCGCACAAUUGAUACAUUGAUAAAUGAUGUUCCCAGGAGGCAAUCUCGCAGGAUCUCCACCUCUUCUCCUCCUUCUACUGCUCGAUUCAUGCCACUUGGACGCUAAUUUUGUGUGACAAACAAUACUCUCUCUCUCGCGCUCUCCCUCGCUGGGAACGUGAGACGAUUUUCGAUUGUGGGGCACGGACUUAAUGGGGUUUUGUCAUGCAAGGAGCACAUUUGCUGCCGCAUUCUUGUGGCAAUUAA